GACGAACGCUGGCGGCGUGCCUAAUACAUGCAAGUUGAGCGCUGAAGGUUGGUACUUGUACCGACUGGAUGAGCAGCGAACGGGUGAGUAACGCGUGGGGAAUCUGCCUUUGAGCGGGGGACAACAUUUGGAAACGAAUGCUAAUACCGCAUAAAAACUUUAAACACAAGUUUUAAGUUUGAAAGAUGCAAUUGCAUCACUCAAAGAUGAUCCCGCGUUGUAUUAGCUAGUUGGUGAGGUAAAGGCUCACCAAGGCGAUGAUACAUAGCCGACCUGAGAGGGUGAGCGGCCACAUUGGGACUGAGACACGGCCCAAACGCCUACGGGAGGCAGCAGUAGGGAAUCUUGGGCAAUGGACGAAAGUCUGACCGAGCAACGCCGCGUGAGUGAAGAAGGUUUUCGGAUCGUAAAACUCUGUUGGUAGAGAAGAACGUUGGUGAGAGUGGAAAGCUCAUCAAGUGACGGUAACUACCCAGAAAGGGACGGCUAACUACGUG
Molecule: ribosomal RNA, 497 nt
Filed under: uncultured bacterium
Lineage: Bacteria
Description: partial 16S ribosomal RNA
Rfam family: Bacterial small subunit ribosomal RNA
Source: RNAcentral